This 346-nucleotide ribosomal RNA is filed under the name uncultured bacterium. Its description in RNAcentral is "bacterial SSU rRNA". It matches the Rfam family "Bacterial small subunit ribosomal RNA", at positions 1 to 334 of the family's 1533-position model. The record is from RNAcentral.
CUAGCGACUUCAGAGUUUGAUCCUGGCUCAGGAUGAACGCUAGCGGCAGGCUUAACACAUGCAAGUCAGGGGCAGCGUGAUGAAGUAGCAAUACGGAUUUGACGGCGACCGGCGCACGGGUGCGUAACGCGUAUGUAACCUACCUUUAACAGGGGGAUAACACUGAGAAAUUGGUACUAAUACCCCAUAAUAGAUAAGAGGGCAUCCUUUUAUUUUGAAAGUUCCGGCGGUUAAAGAUGGACAUGCGUUGUAUUAGCUAGAUGGUGAGGUAACGGCUCACCAUGGCGACGAUACAUAGGGGGACUGAGAGGUUAACCCCCCACACUGGUACUGAGACACGGACCAG